Molecule: ribosomal RNA, 253 nt
Filed under: uncultured bacterium
Lineage: Bacteria
Description: partial 16S ribosomal RNA
Rfam family: Bacterial small subunit ribosomal RNA
Source: RNAcentral
GACAGAGGGUGCAAACGUUGUUCGGAAUUACUGGGCGUAAAGCGUGUGUAGGCGGCUACGUAAGUCGGAUGUGAAAGCCCCAGGCUCAACCUGGGAAGUGCACUCGAUACUGCGUAGCUUGAGUAUCGGAGAGGUUGGUGGAAUUCUCGGUGUAGAGGUGAAAUUCGUAGAUAUCGAGAGGAACACCGGUGGCGAAGGCGGCCAACUGGACGAAUACUGACGCUGAGACACGAAAGCGUGGGGAGCGAACAGG